GGGCUCGCGUACCAUUAGCUUGUUGGUAGGGUAAUGGCCUACCAAGGCUACGAUGGUUAGCUGGUCUGAGAAGAUGGCCAGCCACACUGGAACUGAAACACGGUCCAGACUCCUACGGGAGGCAGCAGUGAGGAAUCUUGCGCAAUGGGGGAAACCCUGACGCAGCGACGCCGUGUGAGUGAAGAAGGACUUCGGGUCGUAAAGCUCUGUCAAGUGGGAAUUGAAGGUACCACUAAAGGAAGCACCGGCUAACUCCGUGCCAGCAGCCGCGGUAAUACGGAGGGUGCAAGCGUUAUUCGGAUUUAUUGGGCGUAAAGGGCGUGUAGGCGGUUGGGAUAGUCAGAUGUGAAAGCCUUCUGCUCAACAGAAGAAGUACGUCUGAAACUGCCCAACUUGAGUACGAGAGAGGAAAGUGGAAUUCCCGGUGUAGAGGUGAAAUUCGUAGAU
RNAcentral lists this ribosomal RNA (447 nucleotides) under uncultured bacterium. RNAcentral's name for it is "bacterial SSU rRNA". It matches the Rfam family "Bacterial small subunit ribosomal RNA", at positions 227 to 695 of the family's 1533-position model. The record is from RNAcentral.